Molecule: ribosomal RNA, 222 nt
Filed under: Penicillium glandicola
Lineage: Eukaryota; Fungi; Ascomycota; Eurotiomycetes; Eurotiales; Aspergillaceae
Description: partial 28S ribosomal RNA
Rfam family: Eukaryotic large subunit ribosomal RNA
Source: RNAcentral
GGUUGACCUCGGAUCAGGUAGGGAUACCCGCUGAACUUAAGCAUAUCAAUAAGCGGAGGAAAAGAAACCAACAGGGAUUGCCCCAGUAACGGCGAGUGAAGCGGCAAGAGCUCAAAUUUGAAAGCUGGCUCCUUCGGGGUCCGCAUUGUAAUUUGCAGAGGAUGCUUCGGGAGCGGUCCCCAUCUAAGUGCCCUGGAACGGGACGUCAUAGAGGGUGAGAAU